Molecule: long non-coding RNA, 786 nt
Organism: Haliotis rubra (blacklip abalone)
Lineage: Eukaryota; Metazoa; Mollusca; Gastropoda; Lepetellida; Haliotidae
Exons: 2
Source: RefSeq, a predicted model, not a curated record
CUGGCAGAGUGGUCGGAAGACGUACCUUCCUGUCGUGCACAGACCGAUCAUUAACACAGAUCAGAUAUGUCAGUGUGGCCACUGGACGGUGGUCCAAGGGGAAAUGGCUUUUCUAAUCAGUCGAUCCACAAGAGGAAAUCAACAGGACUUUUUACAGGAUGAAACUACAAAUGUGGCUUCAGCGGUUCACAGCAACUAAAGAUCAAUGCUCAGAUAUACAUUCCAAUGCAUAGAAUACAUUAUUUUACUCUGCAAAAUUUGAAGGGUAUUUCAAUUUCUACCAAUUCUACCUUAGAAAUUUUCCAGGACAGUUGGGGCAUAAACUAUGGUCCGAGUAUCUUCGUUAUGGUUGUAUUUUACAUGUUUUGUGCUCAAAUAUACUGACUGCAAUUUGAAUGAGUAUGUGUAUAACAAAUUGAGGUAUACAUUAUACAGUCUUGUUUAAAGUCCUGCUUCAACACGUGUAUAACACCAUCACAGUUGACGUUCCGUGAAGUUCAUGGACAAUGACUGUAGUUUAUAUAGAUUCGCGUUCAGUGUGAUAGAAAACAUUCACUGUAGUGCACUAUUCUUUUGUAACCCAAUUUUAUUUUACCUGUGUGGGGUACUCCCUUGUAGCCAUACUCUCACCAAAAAGAAACGCAUAAGUGUUUUGUUGUUAAAUAUAAUAUCCUAGUUUUAAUGUGUAAAUCUCGAUAAAUUGCCCCCAGAUUUCACAGUAUAGAAGAUCAAAUGACUGUUAACAGGUGUAUCUUAUAAAACGCUCAAUAAAUGAAGGCGCCCGUU